GGCGCAGAAAAGGGGGCGGGGGGACUCGACUUGUUGUGUUGCUGCCCGAGAGCCGGAUACUGUCGUGCCGCGGCCGCGCCGCUCCCAGUCUCCCGACCAUGUCUCACUUAGUUGAGCCGCCGCCACCCCUGCACAACAACAACAACAACUGCGAGGAAGGGGAGCAGUCCCUGCCGCCGCCCGCCGGCCUCAACAGUUCCUGGGUGGAGCUCCCCAUGAACAGCAGCAAUGGCAAUGAGAAUGGCAACGGGAAGAAUGGGGGGCUGGAGCACGUCCCUUCCUCAUCCUCAAUCCACAAUGGAGACAUGGAGAAGAUCCUUCUGGAUGCACAGCAUGAGUCAGGACAGAGCAGUUCAAGAGGCAGUUCUCACUGUGACAGCCCUUCACCACAAGAAGAUGGACAGAUCAUGUUUGAUGUUGAGAUGCACACCAGCAGGGACCAUAGCUCUCAGUCAGAAGAAGAAGUUGUUGAAGGAGAGAAAGAAGUUGAGGCUUUGAAGAAAAGUGCAGACUGGGUAUCAGACUGGUCCAGUAGACCUGAAAACAUCCCACCCAAAGAGUUCCAUUUCAGACACCCUAAGCGUGCUGUGUCUCUAAGCAUGAGGAAGAGUGGAGCCAUGAAGAAGGGGGGCAUUUUCUCUGCCGAGUUCCUAAAGGUCUUCAUCCCGUCUCUCUUCCUCUCUCACGUGUUGGCUUUGGGGCUGGGAUGGUAAAACACACCAUUGUGGAGGAUGAUUCUUGAAUACACUGGUAGACUGCUGUAGCAUCUAUAUUGGAAAACGACUGAGCACACCUUCUGCCAGCACCUACUGAGGGAAACGAAAAGCCUCUGGAAAUGCGCGUGGCCUGUGAAGUGCUGUAUUGUAGUUUGAAUUUGAGACCUAUUGUAAGCAUGAUCCCCAACCUACAACCCCAUUUUUACAUACCCAAUUCCAGUAACUCUCAAAUCCAGUAUUUUCCUCAGGCUCUGUGAGGCAUUUUACUAACCUUGUUCCCUUUUUGGCCUGUCAGACACUUUAGAGAUUCCUAACAGAGUUUACUGUCAUUUAGAAAUUUGCAAGGGCUUUUUUCAGCAAUGCCACCAGCAGAUGAUAAUCUUAUCAACAAUGCCAUCGUCUCCUCUAGUACCACCAGAGUCACACCUGCAUCAUCCAUGCUAGAAACUGGAUUCUAGCCAUGCAACUACAUCUCUUUCUAAAUGAGGUCAGGUUUGCAAACAAUACUAUAAAAGCUUUGUUUAGUUUUUGUUUUCCAGGACAAAAACAAGCUUCCCUAAGCUUGAAUUUAUAGUUAUUAAAAACAAAAGAAAACAAAACCAAAAAAAAAAAAUAAUAAAAGCAAGACACAAGGAAAAAAAUAUCCUGGGCAAUAAAAAUGACUUCCAACCAGCUUUGGGCCACUGUUUUCCUAGCCUCCUGGUCCGCCUGUAGGGGUGACAGAUAGGAAAAGCAGGCUAGAACAUACUGGCCGGUUCUAACAUUAGUAGGUCGCAGUGCUAUCUUUUCUAUGAUAGAGAGUCUUUAUUUUUAAGGAAUGCCUCAGGCCUAGACAUACAUGAAAUUGCUUUUGAGAUUUUUGUGCGUUUGGUAUUUUCAUGUGUUGUCUGCAUGUGAAUUUCUCAUGACUUUCUUUACUUGUUUUUCUAGUUUCUUUUCUCUCUCUCUCUUUUUUUUCUAAGAAGAGACUUGGAACGAGUCUGAUUCGUGGUGUUACUAGAGGCUUCUUGUCUUAGGAAGCUUUGCUUACACCCUGAAGCCUUUGCACUCUGAAGAAUAACUUCAGAGGUACUCCAAGCACUUGUGUAACUUCAGAAAGCAGACCUGGAUUUUGGCAACAGUUGACAAAGUUCUGGAAAGAUGCCAUUCGUUCUCUGUGACCCCUUACUUCCUGUCGUUGGCUGCGGUCUUCUCAAUGCGUCCCUAGGAUCUCCCAGGCCCUGGUGACUUUCUCACAGAGUUGUCUUUUCAGUUCUGUCAAGCUCUAAUGUUCUGCAGUACUCAGAAAAUCCUUUGAAUGGCAGACUUUCUUCUGUCUGUUUCUAAAAUGUGAAGCUUUAGGACCAAAUUGUUAGACAGCAUCAGGAUCGCAGAUGAUCUCAAGUAGAUGUUGUUGGAUUUCAGAACAUAGCACGACUCUAAAGGAGUCUGUUCUCUGUAUACUUAAUUACUGUCUAUGAUGGAGACUUGCUGUAGUUGCAGAACCUUGGUGAAUUUCAAAGCUAGCAACCUACGUGGUGCACCAGGUUGACUUGAAUCAAUAUGGCAACCAGGUUUGCUGGCAUGUAGAAACUAACUCCCCUCUCACAUAAAGGGUUAUAAGAUUGGUGUGUUAUAUGGAAAUGGAGAGGAACACAGCUAGGAAGACAUUUCUGUCGUUUUUCAAGAACAUAGCUGUUAUCUUUAAGAAAGAUAAUAUAUCCAAAAUAGUUUUUGUGAGUUCUUUUCUUUCUGGCAUUUAAUGUCUAAAGGAUUGUGGGCAUCUUCUGCCCUUUUCCUGUCUUGCUCUUAAACCUGGUGACGCUUGAUUUGCCUUCUCGCCUAUUUAUUUCAAGUGUUUGUAUUUGAAUUUCUUUAGGAAGAAAGUGGCCUGUUUGUCUGUUUGUUUGUGUGUCUUUGAAAAGCCUGAAUCAGAUUGGCAGGGCUGCUGAAGCUAAACUGCAGCAGGUUGGCAGUGCUUGUGUGUGAGCAAGCGGCACAGUCACUCAGGAGGUGAUCUCACAGGCGGACGUCACCUUCUUCAUGAGUGCAGUAGCAGUUUCCCAGCAGUGCCAUCGGACUGCGGGGACACUGAGGAUUUUGUUUCAACAUCACAGCUGAGUUUAGUUUUACCAUGUGUGAAAGUACCAUUAAGAUCAUGGAACACGUCACAGUACAAUUGUCCACCAGUGAGCUUGUGUGGUGUUGGUUUGCAGCCCUGACAUACAGGAUGUUUAUGUUCCUACACAGAUUCUCAUUGAGUGAAAACAGAUUGUCCUAUUGCAAAGCAGAAUUCAACCAGGAGUUGAAAUUUAAGAUAAUGUUUGAAAAGCUUUAUUCCUGUUUACAAUUUGGAAUGAAAAGCAGGCUUCAUUUUAAGUUUGAUGAAAACUGGCUCAGAUGUUUGUAAGUCAAGAGGAAAGCGGCACAGAGAACGGCGCAACAGAGUCCCUCGAUUACAGUCAAGAGUGAGAUGGAGACUCAGCCGUGAGACGAAUCUCACGUGAACCAGUUGUUGGAACUCCUGGCGUUAACUGAGCCAGAGUGAUGAGCAUCCUUCGUCUGUCUCGUCAGCACUUGCGUCAUUCCUUACAGUUUACAGAACACGUGUAACUUGUAGCUAUAAACAUUUUGUGCCAUUAAAGCUCUCACAAAACCUG
Peromyscus maniculatus bairdii (prairie deer mouse) is the source of this 3355-nucleotide non-coding RNA. The record is from RefSeq and is a predicted model, not a curated record. NCBI's taxonomy places the organism in Eukaryota, Metazoa, Chordata, Mammalia, Rodentia, Cricetidae.